CCCCUCUCAGGGUCGCACUUGGAGAGUUUCCAGUAGUCUACCAGGCUCGGCUAUAGGAGGAAGAGCCAAGCAGAGGCCUACCCAUUCCAUUCCUAGCUUGGCCAGUGGCUAGUGAGUAGAAGGCAAUCUGCUCUAAGU
Molecule: small nucleolar RNA, 138 nt
Organism: Tachyglossus aculeatus (Australian echidna)
Lineage: Eukaryota; Metazoa; Chordata; Mammalia; Monotremata; Tachyglossidae
Source: RefSeq, a predicted model, not a curated record